Long non-coding RNA from Polypterus senegalus (gray bichir), 895 nucleotides. RefSeq lists it as uncharacterized. The transcript has 2 exons. NCBI's taxonomy places the organism in Eukaryota, Metazoa, Chordata, Cladistia, Polypteriformes, Polypteridae. The record is from RefSeq and is a predicted model, not a curated record.
AUAAUUUAUUUUAAUUAUGAUGAUGAAAAUGUAACUAAAUACCUGGUGCACGUCAGGAAAAAGACCUAGGAGUCCGAUGGACUUAGUGCUUCUCACAAGUAGACAAAUUAUAGAAGCUUUUCAGAACAGGGUUUUGGGUUAAUUAAUACAUUAAUGGUAUCAAGUCUAUGGUAUUGUAGGUUAGUUUUGAAGUGCCCAGGUUACUUGUGUUAUGUAAUCAGAAAUAUUACAAAAAGAGUAUAACAGCACUUCCAAAGUGGAUCAUCUCAUUUAUGAUAAGGUGAGCCUAAGAUUUAAUUGUACUUUCAUUGAAUUGAUAUAUAUGUUAAAAAUGUCAGUUUAUAACUAAUCUGAAAAAUGUCUGUAUAUAGUAUACUUCGGAAAUAGUAAGAGUUUGCGUUGCACAGCAGUUUCAUUUAUUUGAGAAUUGUGCAUCAGAUGUUUUUCUAAUUACUGAAAUGUUUUCACAGGGCUAGGAUUUUACCAUCAAGUAAAAUUAAUAAACUUCAUCAGACGAGAAAUUUAUCAGUGCAGAUGUUAUGGCUGCCAGGAAAAGUUUUCCAGUAAAGCCGAUGUUUUUAAACAUGUGGACAAAGCUAAACAUAUAAUGAAAUUGCCUGAUAUAUCAGUGUGGGACCAGCCACAGUAUUAUUUUCCAACCUAUGAAAAUGAUGCUCUGCUUUGCACAUUGUCAGAUGAUGAAGCAGAAUCAGACAAUACUGAUCAAGACAAAGAUAUACCUGUAAUUUCUGAAGAUAUUUCUAAUUUGAGAGCACUGAAAAAGAGCAGUGUUUUAAAUCAACUGCUAAAAUCUAAAUCAACAGCCGCUAACUGGGAUUUAUGAAACAAACGUAAAUACAGGUCUUUGUUUAAUUUUGUUUGCUUUUGUAUUAAU